RNAcentral lists this long non-coding RNA (797 nucleotides) under Heterocephalus glaber (naked mole-rat). RNAcentral describes it as "lncRNA (ENSHGLG00000044508.1)". Lineage: Eukaryota; Metazoa; Chordata; Mammalia; Rodentia; Bathyergidae. The record is from RNAcentral.
CACACAUCCAGAGAGCCCAGGUGGAGGCGGAAGUCAAAGCGGAUCAUUUAGCAGAUGGAGAGAAUCCAGCGGUGGGAUUCCAGAUCCGACAGGACUGGAGCAGCCAAGAUCAGCCAGAAGUGAUGGAUUCUAAGGUUCUAAAGUGUGGAGUUGCAAGAUGGAAGCCACUGCCAUCCCUGUAUCUAUGGGAGGAAGAGAGCCACCCAGAGCCUUGCAGUCGGGAACAGCAGUACUCAACCAUUGCAUGAGCAAGAAACAAACUCCUAUUGGAUGAAAUCACUGCCACUUUGGGGAUGUUUGUUACAGUAGUUAGCAACUGUGGGAAUGCAAUCUCGUGUGGAAGCACAGCAGCUGAAACAGAGCAAGGGGGCGUUGCCUGGGACAGAAGUGGGGCUGCACCUAUCACACCUACCAGCCUCCCCCAUCGUCCCUUCUUGCCCGGAUUUUACCACCGCCACAUCUUCUGGGGACCUUAGGCUUCCUCGGAACCCAGUUUGAGAACCACUGCCUUUGUUCUCUGCCCUUCCUCUUGGACCUGGGAAAACUAAGAUCUGGAGUAGCACAAUGACCAUCCAAUACUGAAAGACCAGUAUGUGGUAGAGGUAGAACCAGAAAUCAGGCUUCCUAUUGUUUUGCUUGAGGAUUUGGUGCUGGCCACAGAGUCUUUAUGGCCCUAUACCAUGAUGUAGAUAGAUAUGGAUGGUUAGGCACAGGCACCACCCAGAGAGACGAUCUAUAUCCAUACCAAAAUGAUCUAUGUCACACACGGAGAUGCAGACAAUAUAUAAGUUUCUGAG